UGGGGAAUAUUGCACAAUGGGCGCAAGCCUGAUGCAGCCAUGCCGCGUGUGUGAAGAAGGCCUUCGGGUUGUAAAGCACUUUCAGCGAGGAGGAAGGUGGUGAGCUUAAUACGCUCAUCAAUUGACGUUACUCGCAGAAGAAGCACCGGCUAACUCCGUGCCAGCAGCCGCGGUAAUACGGAGGGUGCAAGCGUUAAUCGGAAUUACUGGGCGUAAAGCGCACGCAGGCGGUUUGUUAAGUCAGAUGUGAAAUCCCCGGGCUCAACCUGGGAACUGCAUUUGAAACUGGCAAGCUAGAUCUCGUAGAGGGGGGUAGAAUUCCAGGUGUAGCGGUGAAAUGCGUAGAGAUCUGGAGGAAUACCGGUGGNGAAAGCGGCCCCUGGACGAAGACUGACGCUCAGGUGCGAAAGCG
RNAcentral lists this ribosomal RNA (412 nucleotides) under uncultured bacterium. Its description in RNAcentral is "partial 16S ribosomal RNA". It matches the Rfam family "Bacterial small subunit ribosomal RNA", at positions 355 to 761 of the family's 1533-position model. The record is from RNAcentral.